GUCCUUGUCGAUUAGUGGUUAAAUCAUCUCGUUGUGGCGCGUCGCUCCGAGAAGCCGGAGGCUCGAAUCCUCCCAGGGACA
This 81-nucleotide transfer RNA is filed under the name Termitomyces sp. T159_Od127. RNAcentral describes it as "tRNA-His". It matches the Rfam family "tRNA". Rfam says of the family: Transfer RNA (tRNA) molecules are approximately 80 nucleotides in length. Their secondary structure includes four short double-helical elements and three loops (D, anti-codon, and T loops). Further hydrogen bonds mediate the characteristic L-shaped molecular structure. tRNAs have two regions of fundamental functional importance: the anti-codon, which is responsible for specific mRNA codon recognition, and the 3' end, to which the tRNAs corresponding amino acid is attached (by aminoacyl-tRNA synthetases). tRNAs cope with the degeneracy of the genetic code in two manners: having more than one tRNA (with a specific anti-codon) for a particular amino acid; and 'wobble' base-pairing, i.e. permitting non-standard base-pairing at the 3rd anti-codon position. Lineage: Eukaryota; Fungi; Basidiomycota; Agaricomycetes; Agaricales; Lyophyllaceae. The record is from RNAcentral.